This 489-nucleotide ribosomal RNA is filed under the name uncultured bacterium. Its description in RNAcentral is "bacterial SSU rRNA". It matches the Rfam family "Bacterial small subunit ribosomal RNA", at positions 28 to 517 of the family's 1533-position model. The record is from RNAcentral.
GAUGAACGUUGGCGGUGUGCCUAAUACAUGCAAGUCGAACGGAGACUGUAGCAAUACUGUCUUAGUGGCGAACGGGUGAGUAACGCGUUGGUGAUCUGCCUCGAAGUGUGGAAUAACCUCCCGAAAGGGAAGCUAAUACCGCAUAGUCUCUCAAGGUUUAGAAAAUUGAGAGUAAAGGAUUUAUUCGCUUCGAGAGGAGCCUGCGUCCCAUCAGCUAGUUGGUAGGGUAACGGCCUACCAAGGCAAUGACGGGUAGGGGACCUGAGAGGAAGGCCCCCCACACUGGGACUGAGACACGGCCCAGACUCCUACGGGAGGCAGCAGUGAGGAAUAUUGGACAAUGGAUGGAAAUCUGAUCCAGCCAUGCCGCGUGCAGGAAGACAGCCCUAUGGGUUGUAAACUGCUUUUAUAUGGGAGCAAUAAGGUCUACGUGUAGACUGAUGAGAGUACCAUAUGAAUAAGCAUCGGCUAACUCCGUGCCAGCAGCCG